AAUCAGUCAUGCUACACAGUUAAAUGCCAAUAACAACAACAACAAAAAAUCUCUGGUCUGGAAGCUCAGAGGAGAUUCCUGGUUGGUGAACACACUGAUAUACCAGGAGUUACAGUCUUGAAACCAUGAAGAGAGGCCUUUGGGAUUUUCCUUGUCCUAUGUGUCUCUUCAUUUGGCUGGUCUGAUUUGCAUUCUUUAUAACAAAACUGUAAUCAGAAGUAUAGCAUUUCCCUGAGUUCUGUAAGUCAUUUCAGUGAGUGAACCUGAAGAGGGUCCUGGGAAGCUGUUCCCCCCACCCAGAUUUGCAAAAGACUGGUCAGAAGUUCAGAGGUCCUGGGGACCCCACUUGUGGCUGGCAUCUGAAGUGGGGAGAGUCUUGAUGGGCUGAGUGCUUUGCUCAUUUAACUCCAGGCUGUUAGUGUCGUGGUCCAUGCAAUGGGUUGGAAAAAGAGUUUUCCAGCACAGCCAGGUGAAGAGAAAGAAGAGUUUAUUGAGAUGAAAGAUGCUGCUAGUGCAUCAGGAGGACUUCCUGAUGCUCAGGGAGAGCUGACCCCGAGUGCAUGGGAGUGCAUGGUUGUGUCUGUUUUAAUAACCAAGGGAGAGAGGAGAGGUCUCUCCGUACAUCUGCCGACCUGCUGAUUGACUGGGGAAAGAGGGGUCUUAUGAUACACUUGCUGGUUGGCUGAGGAUGUAUAUUGCCCCUAGAAAAAGAAGAGUGGGACGCAUAACUUUCCUAGUAGGGGUAGGACAGAGUAGACCAGGUUGCUCAAGGUGGAAACAAGAGCAUUACAAGGAGAUGGGUGGGGUGAUAAGGGUCUGAUAAUUCUUGUCUUGGCCAGACUCUGAGUUCUCUCUUCUUGAAGAGGACUUGAAGUCCCACAGUUAAUGCAGAACUGAAUUGCAGCCUACCAGUUAGGCCUGGAACAGAAUCCUCUCCUUCAGUCCCGUGGGCAGUUCCUUGGCUGCGGCCCCAGACCCCACUGCCCCUGUUCUUUCUGUGCCACAACAGACACUGCCAGGCUCUCUGCACAGGAUCUUGCAGCCCCCAGAAGACCUGAUCCUGGCAGUGAUUUCUCUGAUGCUCUAGUAAAAGAAAUGCCCCAUCUUCUCCACUGGCCCUCCAGGAAAAUGCAAAUGUGACACUGGCUCCCCCCCCCUUUUCCCCUUCCCAGGGCCUUUUAUUUCAGACACGGGGGAGGGGGGACUUCCUCCAUCACGCUCGCUCGUGAUCUGCUCUUUCUCUGCUCAUGCCUCAACAGAAUUUGCUGCCGCUUUCCCCUUAUUCUUUUGGCCUUUAGGGGGGAAAAAAAAGAGUGCUGAAUGCCAGUGUCUCCAAGUGGAUGCUUGCGUGGCUCUUCAGAAAGCACAUGAAUAGAGCCAGUGAGUCUCGGGCUCAGAGGGCUGCUGGGGUCCAUCUGUAUUCACCAGAGAAAAGCCAGUGGCUUUUUAAGGGGAGUUCGCUAACCCUGUGUUCCCUCCUCCGCUCCUCAGUGGGCACUUCCCCGCGCCCUUUGGCAGUUUUUCCAGGCAAUGUGACACAAACACUGCAUUCUUCAAGAGAAGGGGGCGGGAUGAUCAAUGAAAACUCCCUAAUAAGUUGCAUGCACUCUGAGCGGUGCUGUCAGGCUUAAAGGUCACAUAUUUCUGAGGUAUGAAAAACACAGAGCUUGGUGGAAGCCUCAUGCAUAAGCAAAGCUUCUCCUUGCGUCCAAAAGUAAUGUAAAUGGCUGGGAACUUAUUUCUGUGAUAAAGGUUGCACUUUUUUUAUGUAUGUUAAACCUAAGGAAAGUGCUUAAAAUCCUCCCUGGCAUUUGCCUUGUGGAGCUCUUGUGGGCUAAUGGGCCAUGACGCGCCUUGAGCUCCUAGAAGGGGAAAGUGUGACGCCAGUGUAAAUGUAUUAUUAUUGCCAUUAGGGAUGGUGAUCUGGGGGGAAGAUUAAAUGUGAAAGAUAAAAUCACUGAAAUCUAUAAGGGAAAAUGUAAAACGGGGCCCACGAAGUUCUAUGCUUCAAUUAAAUUAAAAGACCACAUAAUGCUACAUUCUAAUCCUGUGUGCAUAAAUUAACAUAAAAACAAAAUGACAUAAAACUGCCCGCGUCAGCAGGAAAUUGAGGGGCCAUUAGUCAUUAGCCUCUCCAAGGCCCCUCUCAUUAUUAUUCAGUGCCUAGAAACUUGACGACCAAAGGCAAAGUGCUUAGCGGUUCUUUGUUGGUAAAUUGUGCUUCCUCAAAGCUGAGGCUCUCCUGGGCCCUCCUUCUAGCCACUGACCCAGAUUCCCCGCUUCGUGCGCCCCGAACUGGGGCACUGGUCUUCCUGGCCUGUUCCCCGGAGCAGCUUCGAACCCUCCCCCAAGCUUAGAGGUUCUCCAGGAUCCUGAAAGCUCUAGUAAUUAGCUGAUACUCAAUUGAUAACGAGGCAAGUCCUGAUUCUGAUUUGCGCAGGUCCUACCGCCUGCGUCCCAAUAUGUGGCCCCAUGACAGAGGGUUAAACCGCGGUUCCCUGUGCCACACCUGCGCAGGAGCUGUCUCUGUUUUGCCUACAAACUCCUAGAAGGGGCUUUGAAAUCAGGUCCGUCCCAAUCCCUGGAGCCCUGAGAUAAGUGUGAUAGAUGUGUUUUGGGCUUACUUUUGGGGUUGUCCGGCUGCACUGUGCCCUGUCAACAGUGGAGCUAAGCCCUCCACAGAGAGCUUCCUUUUGGAAACCCCAGCACCUUCACGUUGGAAGAAAACAAUAAAUGAACCCUUUGCUGGAAGUAUGGGUUGUCACUGCAGACCAAGGAAACACGUUGAUUUCUCAAUCGUCGUGUAGCAGGGUUUGUAAUGUGAAGCAGAGCCGCGUCCACAACAGGAUUCAGAUGUGUCCCAGCAGGUCUGGCGAGCCACUGGUGAGACCCGAGCAACACCUAUUUUCACGAGGACUGAGCCGCCUCUGAAGAUAAUUUCCUCCAAAGGAAUUACCCAGAUUUGAUGCCCAGAGCCUGGGCUAGAGGAGGGCUGAUUUGAAUAUGGCACCGGGCUGGCUCUCCAUCCUACCCUGAGCACACAACCAAGACCUCAUGCCUGGGUUGUGCCUGGGUCCUGCCUGGGUCCUGCCUGGGUCAGUUACCAGCAAUACUGCUUGGGAAACCCUCAAAUGGGCUUAAUACCAAAUGGAGAAAGACACCCCCAUAUUCUUUGCUGUCAAUUACCACCCAGCUUGGUGCUUCAGAGCUCAGGCCCAUUGCCUGAUGGCAGUGGAGGAGGAGCCCUCUGGGGCCAAGCCUCCUUCUAUGCUUGUGUGACCCAAGCCUGGAGACUCACAGAGUUGUUCAGGAAGCACAUCUCAGGAGAUGAGGGAGCUACAUGAACAGGUGUGUGGGUCAGCACAUCUGGAUUGUUUUGUAUCUAUAGGCUGGUGGGGCAUAAGGAAUUUGGGAGUUCACAGAUGUAUACUUAACACGCUUGAUUUUACCUAUUAAUUCUUUCAACAAGUCAUUAUUGAGCACCUGCUAUGCCUGGCAUGGAAUUAGCUUCUGAAGUUACAUGUCUCCAAAUCAAGUGGUAAUAGUGAGAUUUAAUAACCAAUUGUAAUGAUGAUUAUGAUGAAACCAAACAAGAAAACAAAGCUGAUAACUGUCAUUUGUUGUGUAUUAGUUAUGUGUCAUGCACUGUGCUAGGGAUAUAAUACAUAUGAUUACGCUUCUUUGCACAGUCCUACAGAGAGUACUUACUAAUCCAUUUUAAAGAUGAGGAAAAUUGAGGCAGACAUAUCCUAUGGCUAGUAGAUAUGAGAGAUGGAUUUCAAACCUAGAUUUGCACGACUCCUUAAUCUGAAGUCUUUUUGUCACACCAUAGGCUGUUUAAUAUAAAAUGAUCCAGGGUCCAAUGGGAGGGUUAGGGAAGAGAAAUUAAUGUGACUCGAUGCUAAGAACUGAACAGCAUUAUUGAGAUCAGAUCAGUGCUUUCAGUAUUCCAUCAUCCAAUACAUGGUAAUAGGGAAUAAAAAUUUUGCACACAAGCAUGUACCCUGUCGUGGUCCUUGAUAAUUUUUCCAGAGAGAAAGGAAGCAGAAACAUAAGGUAUCAGAAUAUCAAGCUUUUCUUGGCAGCCUGAAGGAGCAAUUCUUCCAGAGUUGCAGCGGUCAAGAAAUGCCUGAGGCUGCAUGAUGCUCUUCUGGGGGCAGAAGAGGGGCCCCUUGAUGGCUCAGCUGCCACUAGCACAGUAAAUGUUGUACGUUCAAUAUACAUUCACAGAAUUUAAUUUUACCAAUAUAAGGUAAACAUCAUUCAUAAGAAUGUCCUCUUCCUCCUUCAGAAAAAAGGGGGGCAGUUAUUUCUUGCAUAAAAGGGUCCUCCGAGUUGUGAAGUUUCCUGAACAUUUUUGUAUUUUUAAGAUUACUGAGAUUAACAUGAAACACUGUUUGGAAAAAGUGCAGGAGUAAAGAGAAUUUGAAAGCUAAAGUGUUAGAAGUUAAUGAAAGUUCAAUCUGGAAGGAAAAUUUAACCUCCUUGACAAGAUACUAUAAGCCAAUAGGAGAAUGAGUCAUCUCACACAAACCUUUUAGGAACACAUUUAUUUUAUCACGUGAGGCACAUCUGUGCAAGCAGAGCACUGACUCAAUCCUGUCAGGAGAAAAAUAAAAAGUUCUUCUACUAAUAUGCAGUACUUUUUUAUUUCCCCAAAGAUAAGAUAAACUCAGCCUAUGACCUGAAAGUAAGAGGUAUAAAACAGUCCACUUAAAAUUUAAGAUUGUAAAAAAACAUAUGCCAUCACGCUAAAUAAACUACUCAGUAACACCUAAUCCUAAAGGAAGACAAGGCUGUUCUCUGACACUUGUUUAUUGCUACAAUGAUAUACUAGGUAUGAACUAUGCUUCCAAAUUAUUUGCUCUCCAAGAAACUAAAAUCUAUCCCUCUAAUGCUUAUUAUCAGAAUGCUCUAGACAAAUACAUGCAAUUUCAUGUAAUUUUGUAGAGGCAAAUCAGCGGAAUUUUAAGCUGUCAUUUUUCCCAGGCAAAGCUGAUAUCAUUACCAUAUGACUACAGCCAGCAAACAGUUCUGCAGUUAUCUCAUAUCCUCACAGAAUCUUUUCCCCCAAAUGUCAAUGUCUUUCAAAUGCCUUCCAUAUGAACAACAUUCAAAGGAACAGUUCUGUAAUACUGCCACCCACCCACUCCC
This 5154-nucleotide long non-coding RNA is filed under the name Sus scrofa (pig). RNAcentral's name for it is "lncRNA (ENSSSCG00000054820.1)". The record is from RNAcentral. Lineage: Eukaryota; Metazoa; Chordata; Mammalia; Artiodactyla; Suidae.